This 482-nucleotide ribosomal RNA is filed under the name uncultured bacterium. Its description in RNAcentral is "partial 16S ribosomal RNA". It matches the Rfam family "Bacterial small subunit ribosomal RNA", at positions 28 to 523 of the family's 1533-position model. The record is from RNAcentral.
GACGAACGCUGGCGGCGUGCUUAACACAUGCAAGUCGAACGAUGAAGAAGAGCUUGCUCUUCGGAUUAGUGGCGAACGGGUGAGUAACACGUGACUAACCUGCCCCUUUCUCUGGGAUAACGCUCCGAAAGGAGUGCUAAUACCGGAUACUCACAUCGAGGCACAUGCCUUGAUGUGGAAAGAUUUUCGGAAAGGGAUGGAGUCGCGGCCUAUCAGCUUGUUGGUGAGGGAACGGCUCACCAAGGCGACGACAGGUAGCCGGCCUGAGAGGGCGACCGGCCACACUGGGACUGAGACACGGCCCAGACUCCUACGGGAGGCAGCAGUGGGGAAUAUUGCACAAUGGGCGAAAGCCUGAUGCAGCGACGCCGCGUGAGGGAUGAAGGUCUUCGGAUUGUAAACCUCUUUCAGUAGGGACGAAGCGAAAGUGACGGUACCUAAAGAAGAAGCACCGGCUAACUACGUGCCAGCAGCCGCAGUAA